Astatotilapia calliptera (eastern happy) is the source of this 673-nucleotide long non-coding RNA. The record is from Ensembl. NCBI's taxonomy places the organism in Eukaryota, Metazoa, Chordata, Actinopteri, Cichliformes, Cichlidae.
CAGGAGUGAGCUGAUACACAGUGGGAGCAGUGUUGGGAUUGUAAGUGUGAAGCUGUGUAGGAGAAAUGAGGCUAUUGCUGGCUGUCAGUCUCAUUCUCCUCUUCCUAUGGCUUCACAAGACUCAGACAUCUAGUGUCACCUUGCACAUGAAUGCUCGUGAGGCAGUAUCGAUGAGUGAGGCAGCAGUAUCUCUCCUCUUAUCGCCUCUGUCUCUGUACUCCUGGAUGACCUCCACGUUGCUCAGGUUCCUUCUGUCCGUCCCAGCUCUCGUCUUCAGCUCCUGGUAUCACUCCUUGCUGCUGAUCCUGGCUGGGCCUUGGUGUGUUGCCACUGUCUGCUUCUCUCUGCUGGUGACCGGUCUCCAUGUUUCUCUCUACCUACUUCACCUCGGGCUGGUGGCUGGGGCGGUAGCCAUUUUGGCUGUCAGGCAACACAAGAUGGCUGACGGUGACACCCCCAGGGAGAAAGUAUUAAGCCUACAGAAGAGCGUAGAAGGGCAGCAAACCAAAAGCAGGCUACUAAUUGGGGGAAGGACGACAGAGAUCGUCGAGAGGAAGAGGACGAGGAGAGUUAUCCUGUUUUGUAAGAAGAGAGUGGGGAAGCCAUUUAUCAAAUGUUUGUUUGAAGGAGGAAAAUUAGCUUGGCAGACGCAGGCGAGGAAGUGCUAGUUGGA